AUGAUCCGCUUGAUUAUGUUGGCGUUGAGCCUUAACAUAGUAUUUGGCAAUGAUGAACUCACCGUCUUCACAGUAGGCUGCAGAGAAGACAUAACUUUGCACUGUACUUUCCUUCAAAACUGUCAGAACUACACCUCUAUUACGUGGUACAAGUUGAACAAUAACAGCGGUGACAGAUCUACAAUGAAAAUCCUCAAAAAGUCAGAAAGUGUCGUCCAGACUGACAAACCCAACGAUUCUGUGUCACUGGAAAAAAACGCAGCUUUGGUCUUAAGGAAAGUUACUCAAGCUGAUUCUGGGGUGUACACGUGUUUAAUUAAAGCCAAAGCUGGUGGAAAGAACUGUCCAAAUUGGGUUAGACUUAAUAUCUCAGAUUGUGUGUCAACACCUUCACCCGUCAUCUUUGAAUUCUCCACCAAGUUUAUUAAUGGAUCAUGGUCAAACAUCAGCGUCCCAUUGCCUCAUGUGAAUGACUAUUCAGUGCUUUUUGUCCUGUGGGGUUGUGUAGGACUCGGUGUGAGUAAAAUCAUCCUCAGUGCCAUUUCCAUAUGCGUUUUCAAGAAACUCAGAAAACUUAAAAGAAGACAGACUUGAGACCAACCACUGUUUAUCAUCACCUUGUUUGUUUGCAGUUGACUCACCAUACUCUGCAAACUCUGCAAACUUGUGUAAAAGACCAUUGGAUGGUUUAGUGAUUUAACAUGUUAAUACUUAAUCUGUGAAUUUACCUAUGAAUCAUGAUACUCUGAGGAACUGAUACUUUAUAUCUGUUAUAUUUAUUUCCAAAAUGACAUUCCUGUCAUAAGGGCAAAAAAUGGAAGAACAUUUUCUUAAACUUUAAAAUUAUGUUUGGAGGAACUAUGCAUAUUGAAAGUUUUCUGAUGCAUAAUCCAUAUUUAAUACACUGCAAAAGAACAAAUUUUUCUUCAUUAUGGAUUUUUCUUACUAGUGUUAUUCUUGUAUUAUUUAUGUACAUUUGUAGUAUAUUUACUAAAGCAAAUUGUAAAACAAAUAUGUAUUGAUUGAUUGUAUCAAACAAAUUUGUAUCCAUAUUACUGGUUUAAAUUGGCCAGUAAGAAUGUUAAAUUAGUUUAAGCUUUUAUAAAUAUUUCAUUCUCUUUGUUUGUAGGUGUUGUGUGUGAAAUUGGUUUGCUCCAUGUGUGCAAAUUUUCAGAAAAACUAAACAUGAGGUCAUCCUAAAAUAGGUAUACUGUGCUUUUGCCCAUGAAUUGUUGAAUUCCCAAAAAUGGAAAUUAGGCUGCUCUUUACUCACCCACGAGGCAUCCAGUUAUGACUUUCUUCUUUCAGACGAAUCCAGUAAGAGUUAUAUAAAAAAUUGUCUUUGAUCUUUCAAGUUCUAUCAUUGCAGUCAGCGGGUGUUGCAUUCCUUCAGCCAAAAAGAAGUUAAAUAAAAAGCGCCCUUCCAUAAAACAAAGUGUCUCGCACAGCUCGGAUCAGUGGUUCUCAUACUUUUUUCGCCAAGUACCGGCUCAGAAAUAUGUCUCUCUAAGUACCACCAUAACGACCAACAUUAAAAUGACAGUGGCACAAUGCAUAGUUAAACAUUAUAAAUAACAUUAUCACUGCAUUGUGCAUAAAUCCAGGUA
RNAcentral lists this long non-coding RNA (1607 nucleotides) under Carassius auratus (goldfish). RNAcentral's name for it is "lncRNA (ENSCARG00000061124.1)". The record is from RNAcentral. Lineage: Eukaryota; Metazoa; Chordata; Actinopteri; Cypriniformes; Cyprinidae.